AGUAGUAUCUUCCAACAGCCAAACGAACUGGACCCAUCGGACAUGCAGGGGCCCACGGGCCAGUUUGCUUCGCAAAUUUCAAGGGCGCUUGUGGUAAUCAUUAUACGCCUCCGGCAUAAUAAAGAAAAUGCUGCUAAGAAAACCUGCUUCAGUCGAAAGCAAAUUUGAAAAGGUUACCAGCAGGGCCAUAAAGCAACACCUUUGACCGGGAACGUCACCUCCUCGGGCCUGAGACGCACACUCGCAGCACGUGCGGCUGCGGCGUUAUCCCGCUCAUAAGACAUAAGAAAUAUCCUCUUGGCCCUCCUCUUGCCUGACAACCCUCCCGCAUAUCAGAACAUGCCCACCUAGAGGACACCUUGCUGUGAACUGUUUGCGUGAAGGCCCUAAAAGGCGCACAAGUUUCCUCCCUGAUCUCCACCAACUUGCCUGCCGCGAGAACGGCUCACCAUAUUUCUUGCCCGCCUAGCUGCUCCUCCAGACAUCCUC
RNAcentral lists this long non-coding RNA (489 nucleotides) under Volvox carteri. Its description in RNAcentral is "long non-coding RNA (VCAR_LNC001818)". The record is from RNAcentral. Lineage: Eukaryota; Viridiplantae; Chlorophyta; Chlorophyceae; Chlamydomonadales; Volvocaceae.